GAUGAACGCUGGCGGCGUGCCUAAUACAUGCAAGUCGAGCGAACGGACGAGAAGCUUGCUUCUCUGAUGUUAGCGGCGGACGGGUGAGUAACACGUGGAUAACCUACCUAUAAGACUGGGAUAACUUCGGGAAACCGGAACUAAUACCGGAUGAUAUUUUGAACCGCAUGGUUCAAAAGUGAAAGACGGUCUUGCUGUCACUUAUAGAUGGAUCCGCGCUGCAUUAGCUAGUUGGUAAGGUAACGGCUUACCAAGGCAACGAUGCAUAGCCGACCUGAGAAGGGGAUCGGCCACACUGGAACUGAGCCACGGUCCAGACUCCUACGGGAGGCAGCAGUAGGGAAUCUUCCGCAAUGGGCGAAAGCCUGACGGAGCAACGCCGCGUGAGUGAUGAAGGUCUUCGGAUCGUAAAACUCUGUUAUUAGGGAAGAACAUAUGUGUAAGUAACUGUGCACAUCUUGACGGUACCUAAUCAGAAAGCCACGGCUAACUACGUG
Molecule: ribosomal RNA, 497 nt
Filed under: uncultured bacterium
Lineage: Bacteria
Description: partial 16S ribosomal RNA
Rfam family: Bacterial small subunit ribosomal RNA
Source: RNAcentral